This 276-nucleotide ribosomal RNA is filed under the name uncultured Fusibacter sp. RNAcentral describes it as "partial 16S ribosomal RNA". It matches the Rfam family "Bacterial small subunit ribosomal RNA", at positions 1107 to 1382 of the family's 1533-position model. The record is from RNAcentral. Lineage: Bacteria; Bacillati; Bacillota; Clostridia; Eubacteriales; Fusibacteraceae.
GUGUUUAGUUGCAAACAGGUCAAGCUGUGCACUCUAGACAGACUGCCGUGGACAACACGGAGGAAGGUGGGGAUGACGUCAAAUCAUCAUGCCCCUUAUGAUCUGGGCUACACACGUGCUACAAUGGCCGGUACAACGGGCAGCGAAGGAGCGAUCCGGAGCGAAUCCUAAAAAGCCGGUCCCAGUUCGGAUUGCAGGCUGAAACUCGCCUACAUGAAGUUGGAGUUGCUAGUAAUCGCGAAUCAGAAUGUCGCGGUGAAUGCGUUCCCGGGUCUU